CAACCUGAAAGCGUAAGAAUGCCUUGUUAGGCCCACAGAAACGGGGGAUGGAACAGGGAUGCUGAACUCUAGUAGAACUGUGAAAUGUGGUUGUCUGGGCUCCUCCUCUGCUCAAUGAUUUGGUUAGAGUCGUUAUUAGGGACAGUUAAGUCAUAUGUGACUGAUUGCAAAAAAUGGCCACAAAUGCUUCAUGGUUCUUCUCUUCAAAAGGCAGACUCUGUUUCUCCACCUCUUGAAUCUGGGCUUGACGACAUGAUUUGCCAUGGCCAAUGGGACAGGAGCAAAAACAGGCCUAAAAGCUGCUAGGACCCUUCUACUACCAUGUAAGCAAGCCUGGCUAGACCACUGGAGAGACCAUGUGCAGAGAAGCCCCAGCCAUCUCAUGAGGCCCCAGAUAUGCAGGUCCAAGACUUAGGCCAGUGCAGAGCCCUGCCUGUCCUGGAGACCACCCAGGCCGACACUUGGGAGCCAUACCUGGGAACUGUUCCCCUUCAGACUCUUCCUUCAGCUGCUCGCUCCGCCGGCUCUCUCGGGCCUCCCUCCAGCGUAGCUUCUGGAUGGAUGGAUUUCGAAGGCAUUUCCGGAUGCGGCACUUUUUUCGCUGCACAGUCUCUGGGCAGGGUGCACCUCCAAACUGAGGCUCCAUUUGGAUCAUCCGGGUUCGAAUCACGUGGCCUUUCCCACAUGACUUGUUACAUUCCGACCACUGGGACCACUCGGUGAGCUCACAGUCAAUGGCUGGCAAGACACAGAUGGGCAUGAGUGUAUCACAUGUCUGAAACAAGAUAUGGUCACACUCUCCUUUGAACAUCUCAACAAGCCUAUGAGGAAUGCAAAGCAGGUGCUGUGUCAUGCUAUUUUACAGAAGAAGAAACUGAGGCUCCAAAGAGGCAGGCUGACUUCACCCAGCCCGUGUGGUUGGUAAGCAGCAGAGGCAGGAUUGGUGCCAGGUCAUCACCCAUUCUAUGCUCCCUCUAUGACUCAAGAAGGCUUUGGAGGACUUUCAGGAUGUGUUCAGAGCCUCUUGCCCUGCUCUGUGAACUAGAAUAUUGUCAGAUCAGCCUCAAGUACAGAAUAGCCUCCCACAGUCCCAAACCCACUGGUGAUAUUUUUUAGAGCAAGGCCAACAAGCCCCCUGCUGCUCUUUGGAGAGAACAAGUCAACAAGCUAAAGGUGGCUGACCCUUGUGGACCAAUACCAAGGACAUUGUGGUUCUCACACACCCUGGCAGCUUUUCAUUCUCAACAUCAUCCUGUGUUCUAUAUAUGGUAGUCUAUGCAAAAAACACAGGAGCCAGAAAUGGGACAUUCAGUAGAGAAGAGGGUCAGGACCAAGUGGUGCUUUAUGGUUUAUUGAGAUCCAGUAAAUUCUUACUAAGCCAGCAUCUCAUAAAUGUGAAGGGAAAAUAACACAUCAGUUUGACUGUCAGGAUGUGUCCCAGGGAGGUAAAUUAUUCCAAGCUCUCUGUUGGCCUUGCAAGGCCAAAGUCAGCAAAGUCAGGGUGGACUUAGAUGUCCUCAUUUAGUUCAACAGUUUCAGUUCUUUUAUCCCGCCUGUGGAAGCUCAGGCAGCUUUCUUAUCUGCAAAAUGGGGAUCAUGGUAUUUUUUUUCAUCAGGUUGUAAGGAUUAAAUGAGAUGCUCCCAGCCCUGUAAGUGCUCCAUAAAUUUUUUCUUCUCCCUUACUUCAGUGGACCCUGUGGGUAUAAAACUUUUAAGUCAGGCACUCUAAGUCAGAAGGCUAUGGGGCCCCAACUCUGGUGAGCUGGCCUGAACCAUGGGCCAAUCUUAGUUAUUGAAAACCCCAGGCUUUCUCUAGUGGAUGGUCCAAGUUACCUCCACCCAUGGCUGAGUCUCCUAAAACAACCCAGGAGCUGGAGCGUGGAGCAGGGAUUAAGGCCUAUCCUUGCCAUGUCCAGUGCUCACACUUUGGACCAAUUACUUGGUUUCAUCCUCAGAGCAACCUAGGAAGUAUUUCCUGCUACUUUACAGAUGGAGAAACUGAGGAACAGAGGUGCUGAGUCAUUGGCUGAAGGUUACUAGCUAGGGGAGGGAGGAUGAACGACUGCAAGUGCAUGCUGGAGGGGGCCAGAGCCACAGCCAGUGUGCCUGCCCUUUCACCACCCAAAAGAGCAGCUCUUGGAAGACCAGCCAAGGAAACUGGCUCGCUCUGCUUGGAGAUUAGUCCCAUGUAAUACAAACAGCUGAUUGCAGAGAUUUUGGAAAACAGGACUGGGAGUGGAGUGGGGUGGGGUGAGCUUUGGAGAACUUGGCUUGUUUUCUUGCUGGUUUUCUUACCAGUCUGCAGGAGUCAUUGAUUGAAUGUGCAGCCUCUGGUCAUGGGGAAUUAAAAUGGUCACAGGGAGAAUAGAAUUAAAAUGCUUGGAAAAUCCAUGGGUCAGGCAAGCCCAUAAUUGUUGGGGGAGAGGAGGGAUAGAACUAAGGUUUAUUGAGCCUUGUGCUGUUUUUCAUAUGUGUCUCUCAUGUAGACUUCACAGGAACCUUAACUUUGGGUGUUUUGUAGAUGGUAGUGGGAUUCUCACUUUAUUAAUGAAAUUGACUGCAGUGUUUAAGUAACUGCAAACACUGAAAGCCAAACCCCAAACUCUUCCCCAGCAAACCGUUUUAUUCUAGGAUCUAGCAGUAUUAGCACUGGCUGGUUCAGGGCUCCCUGGACUCAGGAACAUAGAAGUGAUGGGCUUUGAGGAGCUCCAGGACUUACGGCAUUCAGGGAGCAUGCACUUCUCCACCUGCUCCAGAUCCUCAUUGCAGUCUCCAAGUUCUGCCAGAGACUUGAGCAUCCGCUGUCGGGUUCGCAUGCCCUUCCCGCAGGUCACGCUGCAGUCACUCCACUCGGACCAUGGGGACAGCAAGCAUGGGAUGGUGUCUAGAUCAAGAACCAGGUUUGCCACUGAGAACAGGUUCCUUUUGUUUUCUUUGAUCUCCCUGACCCCACAGUGUUCCACACCCAGUCCCCUGCUUUGGCCCCUGGAAUAAAGUGGAAUUGGCCCAUGGGUUCAAAUAAGAGUGAAUUCUAUGGAGCAAGAAGUGGCUCAGCAGCCUAUUGCUCUUCUUGUCACUCUCUUUCAUCUCCCCACCGAUCCCCCCCGAUGGUUAUGACAUGAGGGUAGCAAUAUGACUACAUAAGUCCCCACUGGAAAGUGGAAAGGCCACUGAGGAUCUUAGUAGGGUCUUCCCAGAGACAGAAACAUCUCACACUCACUAAGAAUCAGGCACUAAAGGAGAGGCUCAGGGAUGUAUUUUUGGACAUUGUGGUCCUGAAUUCCCUAGAAUGUGUAUGUACUUGUGUGCUUGUAUACAUCUGCAUACUAAUGUGUGGGCAGGCCCAUAUGCAUUUGUGCACAGAGCAGGGGAGGUCAUGCUUUAUGGGAUCAGCCAAGUCCAAUGUACAACAGGAGUGGGCUGGACUUGGGUAGUGUAAGUCCCGCCUAAAUGUAUUGGCCCUCCUCCCCACCACUGCAAGAAAGACACUCCUAUAAAACACAGCUGCAGGUGAAUUCUAUCCAGAGGCCACCAGUUUUCCACCCCAGCAUUGCUUAGAAUGUCCCCCAAUGGAGGUUACUCUCUCUGGGUCUAGUUGAUGUCUACACACCUAUGUCUCUCAUCUGGCUCCCAGCAAUGCCUAGCAAGGACCAUGGGCCAUGCUUUCCUCUGCUCAGCCUCCGACCUUUAUGGUGGUAAUAGUGGAUGCCAUGGCCCUCCACGCCUGUCCCCAGUGGCCUCCUCCAAACCCACCCCCGCUCUCACUCACGGCACUCUGGCAUCAUGCACUUCUCCGCCUGGGACGUCUCGGCUUUGCACAUGGAGCCAUCUGCGGGGCUCAUCUUGAUCAUGCGGUGCCGCUUCUUCAUGCCCAUGCCGCAGGUGGCGCUGCACUCGUCCCACUCGCCCCACUCCGUCAUCAGGCAGCUGCUGGGAGCUGGGGAGGCCGGCGGCAUUGGAGUCGCACCUGCUGCCUCCCCGACCUGCUUGCCCUCCCGCCCGCCCACCCGGGCCCCCCACUCACAGCACUCCUCGUUGACCGUGCACUUCUCCGUUUCCUCAGUGGGCAGCGUGCACACGGAGCCGUCCUCCGGGAACUGCUUCACAUACCUCUCCCGGGACCUCAUGCCCAUGCCGCAGGAGAUGCUGCAGGGCGACCAGGUGAUCCACUCGGACAUGGUGCAGGUGGAGCCGUCUGCAACACACCAAGUGAACGCUGCAGCAGUGCACGGUGGCAGGGGUGCCCGCCAGGCCGCGCGGUGGGAACUUCCCACCAGCCGGAAUCAAGAGGAGUCAGGCAGUUGAGGUUGUCUGCACACCUAAGAGGUCUAAAUCCUUAAACCGGCAAAGUUCUCUAAGAGGAAAUGCCUCUUUUCCAGGUGCAUGGGACACUCAGAAUUACUCCUUAUCUCAUGAAAAUACAUUUGAAAGAUGUUUGUAUGGAAAGGAUGGUGUUUAAAAAAUGUACACAUAUAUAUCUAAUAUAAUUUAAUCUACAUAUAAUUUAAGAUAAAUCAUAAUCCAUUUGUAUGAGGAACAAUCCUUCCCUGUGGAGGGGGAGGUUAAGGACCUCAGCUCCUCAGCUUAGACAGCUCCCCAGUCCCAGCCCCAAGAAGGAGGCUUCAAUGUUGACAGACCAGUCCCAGCUUUCUUCCCGCCUGUUUGUAGGAAUGACUUGUCUAUGGGAGGGUUUACUCCCCUUCAAAGUGCUUAUUGUGGGCAAAAUGAGCUAGCAAUAAACCAUCGUGAAAGU
Molecule: long non-coding RNA, 4753 nt
Organism: Pongo pygmaeus (Bornean orangutan)
Lineage: Eukaryota; Metazoa; Chordata; Mammalia; Primates; Hominidae
Exons: 2
Source: RefSeq, a predicted model, not a curated record